Molecule: ribosomal RNA, 373 nt
Filed under: uncultured bacterium
Lineage: Bacteria
Description: bacterial SSU rRNA
Rfam family: Bacterial small subunit ribosomal RNA
Source: RNAcentral
UAAUACGGAGGGUCCGAGCGUUAUCCGGAUUUAUUGGGUUUAAAGGGUGCGCAGGCGGGAUGUUAAGUCAGUUGUGAAAGUUGGACGCUCAACGUUCAAAUUGCAAUUGAAACUGGCAUUCUUGAGUGCAGUGGAGGUAAGCGGAAUUCGUGGUGUAGCGGUGAAAUGCUUAGAUAUCACGAAGAACUCCGAUUGCGAAGGCAGCUUGCUAUACUGCAACUGACGCUCAUGCACGAAGGUGUGGGUAUCAAACAGGAUUAGAUACCCUGGUAGUCCACACAGUAAACGAUGAAUACUCGCUGUUGGCGAUAUACUGUCAGCGGCCAAGCGAAAGCAUUAAGUAUUCCACCUGGGGAGUACGCCGGCAACGGUG